AGAGUUUGAUCCUGGCUCAGAUUGAACACUGGCGGCAUGCUUUACACAUGCAAGUCGAACGGCAGCACGGGUGCUUGCACCUGGUGGCGAGUGGCGGACGGGUGAGUAAUACAUCGGAACGUAUCCUAAAGUGGGGGAUAACGCAUCGAAAGAUGUGCUAAUACCGCAUACACUCUGAGGAGGAAAGUAGGGGAUCGAAAGACCUUAUGCUUUUGGAGCGGCCGAUGUCUGAUUAGCUAGUUGGUAAGGUAAUGGCUUACCAAGGCAACGAUCAGUAGCUGGUCUGAGAGGACGACCAGCCACACUGGGACUGAGACACGGCCCAGACUCCUACGGGAGGCAGCAGUGGGGAAUUUUGGACAAUGGGCGCAAGCCUGAUCCAGCCAUACCGCGUGAGUGAAGAAGGCCUUCGGGUUGUAAAGCUCUUUCGGACAGAAAGAAAUCGUGCAGAUUAAUACUCUGUAUGGAUGACGGUACUGUAAGAAGAAGCACCGGCUAACUACGUGCCAGCAGCCGCGGUAAUACGUAGGGUGCGAGCGUUAAUCGGAAUUACUGGGCGUAAAGCGUGCGCAGGCGGUUUUGUAAGACAGGCGUGAAAUCCCCGGGCUUAACCUGGGAACUGCGCUUGUGACUGCAAGGCUAGAGUGUAGCAGAGGGGGGUAGAAUUCCACGUGUAGCAGUGAAAUGCGUAGAUAUGUGGAGGAAUACCGAUGGCGAAGGCAGCCCCCUGGGCUAACACUGACGCUCAUGCACGAAAGCGUGGGGAGCAAACAGGAUUAGAUACCCUGGUAGUCC
This 795-nucleotide ribosomal RNA is filed under the name uncultured bacterium. Its description in RNAcentral is "bacterial SSU rRNA". It matches the Rfam family "Bacterial small subunit ribosomal RNA", at positions 8 to 796 of the family's 1533-position model. The record is from RNAcentral.